AGAGUUUGAUCAUGGCUCAGAUUGAACGCUGGCGGCAGGCCUAACACAUGCAAGUCGAACGGUAACAUUUCUAGCUUGCUAGAAGAUGACGAGUGGCGGACGGGUGAGUAAUGCUUGGGAACUUGCCUUUGCGAGGGGGAUAACAGUUGGAAACGACUGCUAAUACCGCAUAAUGUCUUCGGACCAAACGGGGCUUCGGCUCCGGCGCAAAGAGAGGCCCAAGUGAGAUUAGCUAGUUGGUAAGGUAACGGCUUACCAAGGCGACGAUCUCUAGCUGUUCUGAGAGGAAGAUCAGCCACACUGGGACUGAGACACGGCCCAGACUCCUACGGGAGGCAGCAGUGGGGAAUAUUGCACAAUGGGGGAAACCCUGAUGCAGCCAUGCCGCGUGUGUGGAGAAGGCCUUCGGGUUGUAAAGCACUUUCAGUUGUGAGGAAAAGUUAGUAGUUAAUACCUGCUAGCCGUGACGUUAAUAACAGAAGAAGCACCGGCUAACUCCGUGCCAGCAGCCGCGGUAAUACGGAGGGUGCGAGCGUUAAUCGGAAUUACUGGGCGUAAAGCGCACGCAGGCGGUUUGUUAAGCUAGAUGUGAAAGCCCCGGGCUCAACCUGGGAUGGUCAUUUAGAACUGGCAGACUAGAGUCUUGGAGAGGGGAGUGGAAUUCCAGGUGUAGCGGUGAAAUGCGUAGAUAUCUGGAGGAACAUCAGUGGCGAAGGCGACUCCCUGGCCAAAGACUGACGCUCAUGUGCG
Molecule: ribosomal RNA, 750 nt
Filed under: uncultured bacterium
Lineage: Bacteria
Description: bacterial SSU rRNA
Rfam family: Bacterial small subunit ribosomal RNA
Source: RNAcentral